Molecule: ribosomal RNA, 253 nt
Filed under: uncultured bacterium
Lineage: Bacteria
Description: partial 16S ribosomal RNA
Rfam family: Bacterial small subunit ribosomal RNA
Source: RNAcentral
UACGUAGGUGGCAAGCGUUGUCCGGAUUUAUUGGGUUUAAAGGGUGCGUAGGCGGUCCUAUAAGUCAGUGCUGAAAUAUCCCGGCUUAACCGGGAGGGUGGCAUUGAUACUGUAGGACUUGAGUAAAGUUGAGGUUGGCGGAAUUGACGGUGUAGCGGUGAAAUGCUUAGAUAUCGUCAAGAACACCUAUUGCGAAGGCAGCUAACUAAGCUUUAACUGACGCUGAGGCACGAAAGCGUGGGGAGCAAACAGG